Molecule: long non-coding RNA, 188 nt
Organism: Octopus sinensis (East Asian common octopus)
Lineage: Eukaryota; Metazoa; Mollusca; Cephalopoda; Octopoda; Octopodidae
Exons: 3
Source: RefSeq, a predicted model, not a curated record
CUGCUCAAUGGGCUGCAGGUGGGGACAAAUCUGGCAGAGACAGACUGCAUGUUCAAUUCAGACAUUAGGAUUGCCUACACAGACCCAUACGACAGACCAACAACGUCAGCAAUGUCAUUGAUUGUCUUCCAAUGAUCCUCAUGCACAAGCUGAUGAAUUUCUCCACAUUUUAAGGAAAAACAGCACAU